RNAcentral lists this ribosomal RNA (449 nucleotides) under uncultured bacterium. RNAcentral's name for it is "partial 16S ribosomal RNA". It matches the Rfam family "Bacterial small subunit ribosomal RNA", at positions 29 to 523 of the family's 1533-position model. The record is from RNAcentral.
AACGAACGCUGGCGGCAUGCCUAACACAUGCAAGUCGAACGAGAUCUUCGGGUCUAGUGGCGCACGGGUGCGUAACGCGUGGGAAUCUGCCCUUUGGUUCGGAAUAACAGUUGGAAACGACUGCUAAUACCGGAUGAUGACGAAAGUCCAAAGAUUUAUCGCCAGAGGAUGAGCCCGCGUAGGAUUAGCUAGUUGGUGUGGUAAAGGCGCACCAAGGCGACGAUCCUUAGCUGGUCUGAGAGGAUGAUCAGCCACACUGGGACUGAGACACGGCCCAGACUCCUGGGGGAGGCAGCAGUGGGGAAUAUUGGACAAUGGGCGAAAGCCUGAUCCAGCAAUGCCGCGUGAGUGAUGAAGGCCUUAGGGUUGUAAAGCUCUUUUACCAGGGAUGAUAAUGACAGUACCGGGAGAAUAAGCUCCGGCUAACUCCGUGCCAGCCGCCGCAGUAA